AAAGCAACUUCAGCCCAGCUCCUUUUGAAACCAGAAACCUGUUCCUUCAGUCCAGACAGGAUCUGAGUCUGGGCCAGCAGGAAUCUUUUACUAGCUGCUGCCUUUGUGCUUUGGAGCCCUGCAGAAGGCGUAUGUGUCUACACAUCACGUGAGGGUUGGAAUGAUGGUCUGAUGUGUAUGAAGCCGAGCUACGUUUCAGAAAGGAGGGAUUCCUCAGACUGGUUGAUGUUGGCAGCUGGGUUAUCAUGAUGCCUGGAGAAAGUACUUCUGCAGUGUUCUUCAUAUAAGCAAGAGCUGUUAGCACUGAAAAUCCUCCCCAACAUGGAUACUCCUGAGCUGUGAUCCAGUUUCUGCGUGGCAUUAACCAUCACCACACUUGACUCUUCCCGGAUGAGGAGCUAUUUUAUACCUUCCAGCUGAAAAGACACCCAACUUAGGUGAGUACACACCUGCAGUCUCAGCCUGAGCAAGGCAUUUAAAGAUAUUCUUGGCUUAAACUGGGUCUAGGAGUGGGUGAAACUUGGCACUAAGAUGGCACAUGAAGUGAAUGACCUGCGAGAAAGUGUUUUACAAACAGGGAGGGUAUCAACUUGGAGCUGCAUUUUUAUGUGGUGAUAGGGCAGCUCUCUGACCUCCUCACCUAAUUUGCAAGUAAUCUUGUCAGGACAAAGAAUCCACGCUGAGCCUGUGCUGUUGAGACUAGGUGGUUAUCAGGACCUGCACUAGGGAACUUGAAGGUAGUUCUCGUCUCUCUGUGGUAUAGAGGAGUCACUAUGGUACUGACUGCACUGCAGAGAUAUGCUUUUGUAUUAAACAAAAUACACACCAAAACCCCUCUUCUACAGCACCAUGGAAUUAAUGGUCUUCCUAGCUGGUUUCUUUCAGGCCAUUUGUGCUACAGGGGUGAGUGUUGAAGAUAAAGAUUGAAUCUGCAGCUCUGAACACCACGGAUUGCUUAAUUCAUCUUAAUAGAGGUAUUCGCU
Long non-coding RNA from Neopsephotus bourkii (Bourke's parrot), 983 nucleotides. RefSeq lists it as uncharacterized. The transcript is spliced from 3 exons. Lineage: Eukaryota; Metazoa; Chordata; Aves; Psittaciformes; Psittacidae. The record is from RefSeq and is a predicted model, not a curated record.